This 336-nucleotide unclassified non-coding RNA is filed under the name soil metagenome. Its description in RNAcentral is "partial contains 5.8S ribosomal RNA, internal transcribed spacer 2, and large subunit ribosomal RNA". The stretch from base 1 to 120 matches the Rfam family "5.8S ribosomal RNA", at positions 35 to 154 of the family's 154-position model. The record is from RNAcentral.
GAUGAAGAACGUAGCGAAAUGCGAUAAGUAAUGUGAAUUGCAGAAUUCAGUGAAUCAUCGAAUCUUUGAACGCGCAUUGCGCCCAUUAGUAUUCUAGUGGGCAUGCCUGUUCGAGCGUCAUUUCAACCCUUAAGCCUAGCUUAGUGUUGGGAAUCUGCUGUAUUGCAGUUCCUCAAAUACAACGGCGGAUCUGUAACAUCCUCUGAGCGUAGUAAAUUUUUAUCUCGCUUUUGUUAGGUGUUGCAGCUCUCAGCCGCUAAACCCCCCAAUUUUUGUGGUUGACCUCGGAUCAGGUAGGAAUACCCGCUGAACUUAAGCAUAUCAAUAAGCGGAGGA